This 239-nucleotide long non-coding RNA is filed under the name Elaeis guineensis (African oil palm). Its description in RNAcentral is "long non-coding RNA (EGUI_LNC056336)". Lineage: Eukaryota; Viridiplantae; Streptophyta; Magnoliopsida; Arecales; Arecaceae. The record is from RNAcentral.
CCUGGGUUGACAGUUUAACCCAAAAUCAUCUUUGAGCAUCGAGUGUCAAAGGGAUGAAUUAUACAGUAACUAUAUCCACAUGGGUUCUAGAGUAUUGCUGGGCAUACAUUCGACCUAUCUGGACAUCGAGUUCUAUUACUAGAUGGUUACAUCGAUUAGUAUAAAAAUUAUUCUUAUACUACCAACUUAGGUUUGAACCAAUGGAGUCACACACAUAGAAGUAUCUGUCUGAUCAAAUG